UGGGAACGCGAAGAACCUUACCUAGACUUGACAUCCCCUGAAUUACCUGUAAUGAGGGAAGUCCCUUCGGGGACAGGGAGACAGGUGGUGCAUGGUUGUCGUCAGCUCGUGUCGUGAGAUGUUGGGUUAAGUCCCGCAACGAGCGCAACCCUUAUCCUUAGUUGCUACCAUUAAGUUGAGCACUCUAAAGAGACUGCCCGGGUUAACCGGGAGGAAGGUGGGGAUGACGUCAAAUCAUCAUGCCCCUUAUGUCUAGGGCCACACACGUGCUACAAUGGUGAGUACAACGAGAUGCGAACCCGCGAGGGGGAGCUAAACUCAAAAACUCAUCUCAGUUCGGAUUGCAGGCUGCAACUCGCCUGCAUGAAGCUGGAGUUGCUAGUAAUCGCGAAUCAGCAUGUCGCGGUGAAUACGUUCCCGGGUCUUGUACACACCG
This 436-nucleotide ribosomal RNA is filed under the name uncultured bacterium. RNAcentral's name for it is "bacterial SSU rRNA". It matches the Rfam family "Bacterial small subunit ribosomal RNA", at positions 954 to 1392 of the family's 1533-position model. The record is from RNAcentral.